GUCGAGAAUAAUUCACAAUGGGGGAAACCCUGAUGGUGCAACGCCGCGUGGAGGAUGAAGGUCUUCGGAUUGUAAACUCCUGUCAUCCGAGAGUAAGACCUGGCGGUAAAUAGCCGACAGGGUUGAUAGUAUCGGAAGAGGAAGGGACGGCUAACUUCGUGCCAGCAGCCGCGGUAAUACGAAGGUCCCAAGCGUUGUUCGGAAUCACUGGGCGUAAAGGGAGCGUAGGCGGCAUGGUAAGUCAGGUGUGAAAUCCCGGGGCUCAACCCCGGAACUGCACCCGAUACUGCGAUGCUAGAGGGUUGGAGAGGUGACUGGAAUUCUCGGUGUAGCAGUGAAAUGCGUGGAUAUCGAGAGGAACACUCGUGGCGAAGGCGAGUCACUGGACAACAUCUGACGCUGAGGCUCGAAGGCUAGGGGAGCAAAAGGGAUUAGAUACCCUAGUAGUCC
RNAcentral lists this ribosomal RNA (450 nucleotides) under uncultured bacterium. Its description in RNAcentral is "partial 16S ribosomal RNA". It matches the Rfam family "Bacterial small subunit ribosomal RNA", at positions 354 to 796 of the family's 1533-position model. The record is from RNAcentral.